UUCGAUCUGCAGUGUUCGACAGGGUCUAGCAAAUUUGAACCAACACUCAAAACCUUGGGAGCUGUUGUCUUUCGGCCUUACGGCCUUAAGCUUGUUCCCACCUGUUAACCAGGUUCAAGGUCGCUAUUCUCACCGGCACAUGCGGAUCUUUU
RNAcentral lists this non-coding RNA (152 nucleotides) under Candidatus Omnitrophota bacterium. RNAcentral's name for it is "Candidatus Omnitrophica bacterium (sediment metagenome) 6S RNA". It matches the Rfam family "6S / SsrS RNA". Rfam says of the family: E. coli 6S RNA was the first non coding RNA to be sequenced, but its function was unknown until recently. The record is from RNAcentral. Lineage: Bacteria; Pseudomonadati; Candidatus Omnitrophota.